This is a long non-coding RNA of Trematomus bernacchii (emerald rockcod), 829 nucleotides long. RefSeq lists it as uncharacterized. The record is from RefSeq and is a predicted model, not a curated record. The transcript has 5 exons. Lineage: Eukaryota; Metazoa; Chordata; Actinopteri; Perciformes; Nototheniidae.
UGCACGUCUGUAAUAUUGCACAAAGAUUGCACUUGUGUCACCUUGCAUCGUGGCACAGCCUUGCACCUCGUACUGUAUGUGGAAGAAAACGUUCCUCGAUAGAGACGUCUGUCAAACACAAAUAAACAACAGAAUACAAUCAGAAGCACAGGAUGAGAGCGGGGGUCCUGUGGAUGCUGAUGGUGUGUCUGAGUGAUGGAAAAGACCCCACAUGCUCAGUUCUGACGAGCCUCACAGUGUCAAAACUCACUAAAGUGAACGUCUCCUGUCCAUCGACAACGGGAACAGACACAAACUACCAGCUCUUCUUCAAUGACAGCUCCUUCGGACGAAUAAAUAUGAGAAAGGUGUCUGGUCCUGCAGAAAUGCUGUUCUCGGGUCAGUUUGAAGUGACGGCCAACAGCAGUGGAGAGUUUCUCUGCAGGAGUGAGGAGAGUUGGCCCCCCCCCCAACUCAGAUGACUGUCACGCCACUGAAGUCAUCGUGGCAGAAUUGCAGUCUUUGCAUGAAAUCAAUGGCUCUGUUCCAGCAGCCUAUCAGAGCUGUCCGUUCAGUUCUCCAUUGAUCCCAGAGGAGGUGAUUUGGGCGGGAUGUGGAGUUUUAUUGGUCUACAGCCUGUCAAUCACCUGCAUUGCCAUUGUCUUAUGGAACAACACGAGGAGAAAUGAGGAGGAUUCAAACGAUUACAUGAACACCAAACCUGGAGAGUUCAGGAAACCUGGCUAAGUUCAACAACAGCGUGCGGCAGUCAUAAGGACAAAUCAUGGCUAUUAAAGCUAGUAUUGUAGUGGUAUAUAUUCCAAAAUAAAAUCCAUAUUUAUUUCACAGU